GGGAAUAUAGCUCAGUGGCACAGUGCCUGCCUGGCAAGCAUGAGGUCUUGAGUUUGAUUCCCAGUACCA
This 69-nucleotide transfer RNA is filed under the name Cavia porcellus (domestic guinea pig). It matches the Rfam family "tRNA". From Rfam's summary of the family: Transfer RNA (tRNA) molecules are approximately 80 nucleotides in length. The record is from Rfam by way of RNAcentral. Lineage: Eukaryota; Metazoa; Chordata; Mammalia; Rodentia; Caviidae.